GACGAACGCUGGCGGCGUGCCUAAUACAUGCAAGUAGGACGCAGUUGCGAACGGGUGAGUAACGCGUAGGUAACUACCUAUUAGAGGGGGAUAACUAUUGGAAACGAUAGCUAAUAACGCAUACUAGUAGAUGGAGCUGCGUUGUAUUUGCUAGUAGGUAGGGUAAUGGCCUACCUAGGCAACGAUGCAUAGCCGACCUGAGAGGGUGAUCGGCCCCACUGGGACUGGGACACGGCCCAAACUGCUCCGGGAGGGAGCAGUAGGGAAUCUUCGGCAAUGGGGGGAACCCCGACCGAGCAACGCCGCGUGAGUGAAGAAGGUUUUCGGAUCGUAAAGCUCUGUUGUUAAGGAAGCGGUACUUAACCAGAAAGGGACGGCUAACUACGUGCCAGCAGCCGCGGUAAUAC
This 407-nucleotide ribosomal RNA is filed under the name uncultured bacterium. RNAcentral describes it as "partial 16S ribosomal RNA". It matches the Rfam family "Bacterial small subunit ribosomal RNA", at positions 28 to 526 of the family's 1533-position model. The record is from RNAcentral.